CACGGUUAUCGACUUUGAUUUCUCUGCUCGCAUCGGUGUGUUGUCAUUUUGUUAAUUUGUGUAAUUACACGGCCUGCCACCCAAAACAAAAGUAAAUAAGUAAGGGCAACCAAAAAAAUCGCAGAUAGGAAGUGGGCUGGAACGCCUGACAACUUGAUUUAAGGUCCGGAGCAAAUCGGCAGCAGCAAGCUUAUGGAAAUGGUGCGCGUCAAAGAUUGGGCGGACUACGAGGCGCUGCCACUUACAACUGUAAUUACGGAGUACUGAGCGCACUGAAUUUAGUUGUACAUUUUGUAAAUAGUAUAUAUGUACACAGAGAUUCACGUUUACUUAUGUGUGUUUAAAUGUACUUUUAUAUUUUUAAUAAAGAGUCAAGUUAACUUAAAUUAACAAAAAAGG
Molecule: long non-coding RNA, 399 nt
Organism: Rhagoletis pomonella (apple maggot)
Lineage: Eukaryota; Metazoa; Arthropoda; Insecta; Diptera; Tephritidae
Exons: 2
Source: RefSeq, a predicted model, not a curated record